Molecule: long non-coding RNA, 387 nt
Organism: Drosophila guanche
Lineage: Eukaryota; Metazoa; Arthropoda; Insecta; Diptera; Drosophilidae
Exons: 3
Source: RefSeq, a predicted model, not a curated record
CCACUCUGCCACACUGCCACUCCACUCUGCUCGUGCUCGGGCUCGGUCUCUGGUGGCUGCUGCUGCCUGGCAGCCUUUUGAGCGAAGGAUUUCAUAAUCCGCUGCAUUUGUCCCACCGAUUAUGCAAUUUGGCCGGCUUUUGCGCCGCGCUCUGUUCAAUUCAGGAAGUCAUUUGCCCAACGUAUUAAGGCCAUUGUACAAAUAAAUGUUUAUUUAAAUUAGGCACUCGACAAAUAAACCCAGUAAGAAAAUACGAAAAUGGCCAAAAAAACAACAAAAUAAACGGUAGCAUUUUGGUAUUUGAUUUUCACUUUCUAUUUGCUGUCUGGCCUAACACCGAGGGCGCUCCACCGCAGAGGGCGAGGCCGAAGCUUGUGUGGCUGUGUC